CGGGUGGGUAGUGGGGGUCGAUUUAGCCAUGCUAGUUGCACGAGUUUAGACUCGUAGCAUAUAGCUCAGUAACACGUGGCCAAACUACCCUACAGACCGCAAUAACCUCGGGAAACUGAGGCCAAUAGCGGAUAUAACUCUCAGGCUGGAGUGCCGAGAGUUAGAAACGUUCCGGCGCUGUAGGAUGUGGCUGCGGCCGAUUAGGUAGAUGGUGGGGUAACGGCCCACCAUGCCGAUAAUCGGUACAGGUUGUGAGAGCAAGAGCCUGGAGACGGUAUCUGAGACAAGAUACCGGGCCCUACGGGGCGCAGCAGGCGCGAAACCUUUACACUGCACGACAGUGCGAUAGGGGGACUCCGAGUGUGAGGGCAUAUAGCCCUCGCUUUUCUGAACCGUAAGGUGGUUCAGGAACAAGGACUGGGCAAGACCGGUGCCAGCCGCCGCGGUAAUACCGGCAGUCCAAGUGAUGGCCGAUAUUAUUGGGCCUAAAGCGUCCGUAGCUUGCUGUGUAAGUCCAUUGGGAAAUCGACCAGCUCAACUGGUCGGCGUCCGGUGGAAACUACACAGCUUGGGGCCGAGAGACUCAACGGGUACGUCCGGGGUAGGAGUGAAAUCCUGUAAUCCUGGACGGACCACCAAUGGGGAAACCACGUUGAGAGACCGGACCCGACAGUGAGGGACGAAAGCCAGGGUCUCGAACCGGAUUAGAUACCCGGGUAGUCCUGGCUGUAAACAAUGCUCGCUAGGUAUGUCACGCGCCAUGAGCACGUGAUGUGCCGUAGUGAAGACGAUAAGCGAGCCGCCUGGGAAGUACGUCCGCAAGGAUGAAACUUAAAGGAAUUUGGCGGGGGAGCACCACAACCGGAGGAGCCUGCGGUUUAUUGGAUCACACCGCCCGGG
This 900-nucleotide ribosomal RNA is filed under the name Haloarcula sp. D21. Its description in RNAcentral is "bacterial SSU rRNA". It matches the Rfam family "Archaeal small subunit ribosomal RNA", at positions 17 to 923 of the family's 1478-position model. The record is from RNAcentral. Lineage: Archaea; Methanobacteriati; Methanobacteriota; Halobacteria; Halobacteriales; Haloarculaceae.